RNAcentral lists this signal recognition particle RNA (95 nucleotides) under Chthoniobacterales bacterium. RNAcentral's name for it is "signal recognition particle sRNA small type". It matches the Rfam family "Bacterial small signal recognition particle RNA". From Rfam's summary of the family: The signal recognition particle (SRP) is a universally conserved ribonucleoprotein involved in the co-translational targeting of proteins to membranes. The record is from RNAcentral. Lineage: Bacteria; Pseudomonadati; Verrucomicrobiota; Spartobacteria; Chthoniobacterales.
CGUCAGGGGCUAUGGACUGCGGACUUACGAACCCCGCCAGGGCAGGAAUGCAGCAACGGUAGUUUGAUUCUCUUUGCCGUAGUCCUCUGGCGGAC